UACGUAGGUGGCAAGCGUUGUCCGGAUUUACUGGGUGUAAAGGGCGUGCAGCCGGGCUGACAAGUCAGAUGUGAAAUACCGGGGCUCAACUCCGGGGCUGCGCUUGAAACUGUGUUUCUUGAGUGAAGUAGAGGCAGGCGGAAUUCCUAGUGUAGCGGUGGAAUGCGUAGAUAUUAGGAGGAACACCAGUGGCGAAGGCGGCCUGCUGGGCUUUAACUGACGCUGAUGCACGAAAGCAUGGGGAGCAAACAGG
Molecule: ribosomal RNA, 253 nt
Filed under: uncultured bacterium
Lineage: Bacteria
Description: partial 16S ribosomal RNA
Rfam family: Bacterial small subunit ribosomal RNA
Source: RNAcentral